RNAcentral lists this ribosomal RNA (326 nucleotides) under uncultured prokaryote. RNAcentral describes it as "bacterial SSU rRNA". It matches the Rfam family "Bacterial small subunit ribosomal RNA", at positions 26 to 352 of the family's 1533-position model. The record is from RNAcentral.
AGAUUGAACGCUGGCGGCAUGCCUAACACAUGCAAGUCGAGCGGCGAGCGCGGGGGCGACCCUGGCGGCGAGCGGCGGACGGGUGAGUAAGGCAUCGGAACUCUGCCCUGGAUGUGGGGAUAACGUAGGGAAACUUACGCUAAUACCGCAUACGCCGAGAGGUGAAAGCGGGGGACCGAAAGGCCUCGCGCAGCAGGAUGAGCCGAUGUCCGAUUAGCGUGGUUGGUGGGGUAACGGCCCACCAAGGCGACGAUCGGUAGCUGGUCUGAGAGGAUGACUCAGCCACACUGGGACUGAGACACGGCCCAGGACUCCACGGGAGCAGC